GAUGAAGAACGUAGCGAAAUGCGAUAAGUAAUGUGAAUUGCAGAAUUCAGUGAAUCAUCGAAUCUUUGAACGCACAUUGCGCCCGCCAGUAUUCUGGCGGGCAUGCCUGUUCGAGCGUCAUUUCAACCAUCAAGCCCUGCUUGCGUUGGGGUCCUGCGGCUGCCCGCAGGCCCUAAAAACCAGUGGCGGGCUCGCUAGUCACACCGAGCGCAGUAAUACAUCUCGCUUUGGGCGUGCGGCGGGUUCUUGCCGUUAAACACCCCCUUUUUACCAAGGUUGACCUCGGAUCAGGUAGGAAUACCCGCUGAACUUAAGCAUAUCAAUAAGCGGAGGA
This 334-nucleotide unclassified non-coding RNA is filed under the name soil metagenome. RNAcentral's name for it is "partial contains 5.8S ribosomal RNA, internal transcribed spacer 2, and large subunit ribosomal RNA". The stretch from base 1 to 120 matches the Rfam family "5.8S ribosomal RNA", at positions 35 to 154 of the family's 154-position model. The record is from RNAcentral.